GAGUUCGACCAUUCCAGCACUAACGCACCAGAUCCCAUCAGAACUUCGAAGUUAAGUGUGCUUGGGUGAGAGUAGUACUAGGAUGGGUGACCCCCAAGAAGUCCGCUAAAGCAAUUUUU
RNAcentral lists this ribosomal RNA (119 nucleotides) under Olea europaea subsp. europaea. Lineage: Eukaryota; Viridiplantae; Streptophyta; Magnoliopsida; Lamiales; Oleaceae. The record is from RNAcentral.